RNAcentral lists this ribosomal RNA (600 nucleotides) under uncultured Alphaproteobacteria bacterium. RNAcentral describes it as "bacterial SSU rRNA". It matches the Rfam family "Bacterial small subunit ribosomal RNA", at positions 54 to 699 of the family's 1533-position model. The record is from RNAcentral. Lineage: Bacteria; Pseudomonadati; Pseudomonadota; Alphaproteobacteria.
CAUGCAAGUCGAACGAAGUAGCAAUACUUAGUGGCAGACGGGUGAGUAACAUGUGGGUAUCUGCCCUUUGGCCUGGAAUAACACGAGGAAACUUGUGCUAAUACCGGAUAAGUCUUUACGGAGAAAGCUUUAUGCACCAUUGGAUGAGCCCGCACUUGAUUAGUUUGUUGGUGGGGUAAUGGCCUACCAAGACUGUGAUCAAUAGCUGAUUUGAGAGGAUGAUCAGCCACAUUGGGACUGAGACACGGCCCAAACUCCUACGGGAGGCAGCAGUGGGGAAUCUUGCACAAUGGAGGAAACUCUGAUGCAGCGAUGCCGCGUGAGUGAAGAAGGCCCUUGGGUUGUAAAGCUCUUUCGUCGGGGAAGAAAAUGACUGUACCCGAAUAAGAAGGUCCGGCUAACUUCGUGCCAGCAGCCGCGGUAAUACGAAGGGACCUAGCGUAGUUCGGAAUUACUGGGCUUAAAGAGUUCGUAGGUGGUUGAAAAAGUUAGUGGUGAAAUCCCAGAGCUUAACUCUGGAACUGCCAUUAAAACUUUUCAGCUAGAGUAUGAUAGAGGAAAGCAGAAUUUCUAGUGUAGAGGUGAAAUUCGUAGAUAUUA